Cucumis melo (muskmelon) is the source of this 258-nucleotide long non-coding RNA. RefSeq lists it as uncharacterized. Lineage: Eukaryota; Viridiplantae; Streptophyta; Magnoliopsida; Cucurbitales; Cucurbitaceae. The record is from RefSeq and is a predicted model, not a curated record. The transcript has 3 exons.
UUUAAGGACCACCUUGGACGAUUUGACUUGGAGCGUUGGAUUUCUUCAGUAGGGGCUCAAGCAUUGCAACCUCGACCUAGGUUAGGACCUCGUUGCUUGGAAAGCACACUUGUCUUGCGGUUAGGACUCGUCGAGUAAAUCUCCAGGUAGAGGCCGAGGUAGGGGCAAAGGCAAGCUGGCGGGCGACCAGAAGUGACCGUGGCGAGUCAUAGGGAUUUCUGCUUCCGCUUACCCCGUUUUAGACCUUUUGUACUUGAG